CAAUCCAGAGCGCCCGAGAGAACUGGCUCGUAGACGGCGCGGCAACCGGACUUCAUUACGUCACGGUGCCAAGGCCAGCCCAACGGCGCGUUAACGAUGACUG
Molecule: non-coding RNA, 103 nt
Filed under: Deinococcus puniceus
Lineage: Bacteria; Thermotogati; Deinococcota; Deinococci; Deinococcales; Deinococcaceae
Description: SAM-I sequence
Rfam family: SAM riboswitch aptamer (S box leader)
About the family: The SAM riboswitch is found upstream of a number of genes which code for proteins involved in methionine or cysteine biosynthesis in Gram-positive bacteria. The SAM riboswitch acts at the level of transcription termination control. The predicted structure consists of a complex stem-loop region followed by a single stem loop terminator region.
Source: Rfam by way of RNAcentral